RNAcentral lists this ribosomal RNA (301 nucleotides) under uncultured bacterium. Its description in RNAcentral is "partial 16S ribosomal RNA". It matches the Rfam family "Bacterial small subunit ribosomal RNA", at positions 509 to 809 of the family's 1533-position model. The record is from RNAcentral.
CAGUAGCCGCGGUAAUACAGAGGGUGCGAGCGUUAAUCGGAUUUACUGGGCGUAAAGCGUGCGUAGGCGGCUUCUUAAGUCGGAUGUGAAAUCCCUGAGCUUAACUUAGGAGUUGCAUUCGAUACUGGGAAGCUAGAGUAUGGGAGAGGAUGGUAGAAUUCCAGGUGUAGCGGUGAAAUGCGUAGAGAUCUGGAGGAAUACCGAUGGCGAAGGCAGCCAUCUGGCCUAAUACUGACGCUGAGGUACGAAAGCAUGGGGAGCAAACAGGAUUAGAUACCCGUGUAGUCCCUGUCUCUUAUAA